Equus caballus (horse) is the source of this 1405-nucleotide long non-coding RNA. RefSeq lists it as uncharacterized. The record is from RefSeq and is a predicted model, not a curated record. NCBI's taxonomy places the organism in Eukaryota, Metazoa, Chordata, Mammalia, Perissodactyla, Equidae.
UGAUAGAAAAAAAUGAACAGUGCAUUCACUUCUCACCUCUGACAGCUGGCCUGAGAUUGAUAUCUGCCAUUUCUGCCUUCACUAGGGUAUCAGGUAAUGAGAGCUGGUAAAGGAUUUGGUGAUGUCAGAAUAAAAGCCUUUCAUAAUACUAAGAACUGUCAGAAUGCUUAAAAAUAUGACCAUGGGACGUCGUCACCAGCAAGAACUUUUUUGUGAGAUGUGAUGAGCAAGUGGAUAUCAACUCAUAUCAACACCAUGAAACACUGCACUGUUGGUCACGAAAGAGGAGAUACAUCACACCAGAGACGGAUGAAGCUAUUUGUGCCAUUUACAAUGCCAAGGAAACAGACAGGGUGCCUAUGGCCAUUAUUUCAAAGCUAUAAAACUUGUGUCUUUGCCCGCAGUGGAAUAUACUCUAAAUUGGUCACAGUCAAAAAGGAUUCAAAAAACCAUGAGAAAAAUAGAAGAAAGAAAACCUUCCCAGAUCAUUGUUGGACACACAUACAUGUACACAACUGAGUGAUAACAGAGAAGGAACUCAAGGAUCCCGAUGAUGUCAUUUGGAUCAUAUAAAACCAGAACCAUCCUGUGCCAAAGACCUUCCUGCUCGCUACUUUUACACUGAGUGAUGGAUAGGGCCUAUGAACUUCCACUUGCUCCAGUGGCUUCUCUAAGAUAGCCUGCAUUUGAGAAGGGAAAGAAGAUCCAGACAUAGACCUUACUAGCCACCCUGCUGGUGAUGAAUGUCUCCAGGCUGCAGGUGAAAACGGUGUCUGAGGCAGCUCAUGGAGGAAGCAUCUGUGAAGGCCCCACGGAGACAAAACGUUUGAGUGGGACCUUAAAAUAAAAGUAGAAUUUGGACCAUCGGACCUGAAGGAGAGUUGCAAGAACGUGUCUCCUCUUGGUGCUGUCAGUGCGCUGCACAGGGAUCAUGGGCUUGGGCAGCCGUGUGGGAUGAAAGCCUUCAGCCAGAGAUCCUCCUAUGGCACCCUUUCCAAUCAUGUUCUCAUUCCCUGGGCUCCAGUUUUAAGACAUAGAAGGCAGUUCGGUGCCGCUGCAGCUUAAGGAAGAUGGGGCCUGGACGAGACUGGAAAGGACCUCAGCUAAAGAAUUUGAACUCUAUUUUAAGACUCUUCUCUGAAUGCAUAAACAUACUGGAGGGAGGAAGAAAAAAACAAGCAACAGAUGAACAGAAAAAUGGAAAAAGAGAGAGGGGGCAGACAGACAAUCAACAGACUCCCCCUGGGAUUUAAAAUGAUAAAUGCACCAUACACAUCCACAUAUUUGCAUAUAGUGAAACUUUAACAUAACCUCAUAAGGCAAAAUCUCCACAAGAAAAUGUGUACUUGAACUGUAAGAUACAAGAGCCUCAUUUUGAGAAUUAUAAAUACAAAUGUCAUUUCAA